This 399-nucleotide ribosomal RNA is filed under the name uncultured Hypotrichia. RNAcentral's name for it is "partial small subunit ribosomal RNA". It matches the Rfam family "Eukaryotic small subunit ribosomal RNA", at positions 30 to 432 of the family's 1831-position model. The record is from RNAcentral. Lineage: Eukaryota; Ciliophora; Spirotrichea.
GCUUGUCUCAAAGAUUAAGCCAUGCAUGUCUAAGUAUAAAUCUUUUACUUUGAAACUGCGAACGGCUCAUUAUAUCAGUUAUAGUUUAUUUGAUAGUCCCUUACUACUUGGAUAACCGUAGUAAUUCUAGAGCUAAUACAUGCUGGUUAGCCUGACUUUUAGGAAGGGCUGUAUUUAUUAGAUAACAAACCAAUAUUCCUCGUGUCUAUUGUGAUGACUCAUAAUAACUGAUCGAAUCGCAUGGGCCUUGCCCGCGAUACAUCAUUCAAGUUUCUGCCCCAUCAGCUUUCGAUGGUAGUGUAUUGGACUACCAUGGCUUUAACGGGUAACGGAGGAUUAGGGUUCGAUUCCGGAGAGGGAGCCUGAGAAACGGCUACCACAUCUAAGGAAGGCAGCAGG